AGUUUUGUACACUGGGGGAAACCCUGAUCCAGCCAUCCCGCGUGUAUGAUGAAUGCCUUCGGGUUGUAAAGUACUUCUGGCAUAGAAGAAAAGAUAUCCCCUAGUACGGCAUACUGCUGCCGGUAUCUGCAGAAUAAACACCGCCUAGCUACGUACCAGCCGCCGUGGUAAGACGUGCGGUGGAAGACUUAAUCGAAAUUACUGGGCGUAAAGCGUGUGGAGCGCGUUCGGAAAGAAAGAUGUGAAAUGCCAGGUCUCAACCUUGGAACUGCAUUGUUAACUGCCGAGCUAGAGUAUGUCAGAGGGGGGUAGAAUUCCACGUGUAGCAGUGAAAUGCGUAGAUAUGUGGAGGAAUACCGAUGGCGAAGGCAGCCCCCUGGGAUAAUACUGACGCUCAGACACGAAAGCGUGGGGAGCAAACAGG
RNAcentral lists this ribosomal RNA (424 nucleotides) under uncultured bacterium. Its description in RNAcentral is "partial 16S ribosomal RNA". It matches the Rfam family "Bacterial small subunit ribosomal RNA", at positions 359 to 776 of the family's 1533-position model. The record is from RNAcentral.